RNAcentral lists this ribosomal RNA (616 nucleotides) under uncultured earthworm cast bacterium. RNAcentral's name for it is "bacterial SSU rRNA". It matches the Rfam family "Bacterial small subunit ribosomal RNA", at positions 56 to 655 of the family's 1533-position model. The record is from RNAcentral.
UGCAAGUCGAGCGGACAGAAGGGAGCUUGCUCCCGGAUGUUAGCGGCGGACGGGUGAGUAACACGUGGGUAACCUGCCUGUAAGACUGGGAUAACUCCGGGAAACCGGAGCUAAUACCGGAUAGUUCCUUGAACCGCAUGGUUCAAGGAUGAAAGACGGUUUCGGCUGUCACUUACAGAUGGACCCGCGGCGCAUUAGCUAGUUGGUGGGGUAAUGGCUCACCAAGGCGACGAUGCGUAGCCGACCUGAGAGGGUGAUCGGCCACACUGGGACUGAGACACGGCCCAGACUCCUACGGGAGGCAGCAGUAGGGAAUCUUCCGCAAUGGACGAAAGUCUGACGGAGCAACGCCGCGUGGGUGAUGAAGGUUUUCGGAUCGUAAAGCUCUGUUGUUAGGGAAGAACAAGUGCGAGAGUAACUGCUCGCACCUUGACGGUACCUAACCAGAAAGCCACGGCUAACUACGUGCCAGCAGCCGCGGUAAUACGUAGGUGGCAAGCGUUGUCCGGAAUUAUUGGGCGUAAAGGGCUCGCAGGCGGUUUCUUAAGUCUGAUGUGAAAGCCCCCGGCUCAACCGGGGAGGGUCAUUGGAAACUGGGAAACUUGAGUGCAGAAGA